UACGUAGGGUGCGAGCGUUAAUCGGAAUUACUGGGCGUAAAGCGUGCGCAGGCGGUUUUGUAAGCCAGAUGUGAAAUCCCCGGGCUUAACCUGGGAAUGGCAUUUGGGACUGCAAGGCUUGAGUGCGGCAGAGGAGACUGGAAUUCCCGGUGUAGCGGUGAAAUGCGUAGAGAUCGGGAGGAACAUCUGUGGCGAAGGCGGCCAUCUGGACCAUUACUGACGCUGAGGCACGAAAGCGUGGGGAGCAAACAGG
Molecule: ribosomal RNA, 253 nt
Filed under: uncultured bacterium
Lineage: Bacteria
Description: partial 16S ribosomal RNA
Rfam family: Bacterial small subunit ribosomal RNA
Source: RNAcentral